RNAcentral lists this non-coding RNA (212 nucleotides) under Rhodovulum sulfidophilum. Lineage: Bacteria; Pseudomonadati; Pseudomonadota; Alphaproteobacteria; Rhodobacterales; Paracoccaceae. The record is from RNAcentral.
UCUACCAUUGCGACGGAUGGUGCGCAUGCUCUCGCCUGCAGGGAGCAUGACUGAAAAGGGAAUGCGGUGCGGGGGAUCCCCCCAAGGCCGCGGCUGCCCCCGCAACUGUAAGCGGCGAGCGGUUCUGGAAGAUGCCACUGGGCGAUGCCCGGGAAGGCCCGGAGCCGCGGCGACCCGCAAGCCAGGAGACCUGCCAUCCGCUUGGUGUUGAA